GACGAACGCUGGCGGCGUGCCUAAUACAUGCAAGUUGAGCGAUGAAGAUUGGUGCUUGCACCAAUUUGAAGAGCAGCGAACGGGUGAGUAACGCGUGGGGAAUCUGCCUUUGAGCGGGGGACAACAUUUGGAAACGAAUGCUAAUACCGCAUAACAACUUUAAACAUAAGUUUUAAGAUUGAAAGAUGCAAUUGCAUCACUCAAAGAUGAUCCCGCGUUGUAUUAGCUAGUUGGUGAGGUAAAGGCUCACCAAGGCGAUGAUACAUAGCCGACCUGAGAGGGUGAUCGGCCACAUUGGGACUGAGACACGGCCCAGACUCCUACGGGAGGCAGCAGUAGGGAAUCUUCGGCAAUGGACGAAAGUCUGACCGAGCAACGCCGCGUGAGUGAAGAAGGUUUUCGGAUCGUAAAGCUCUGUUGGUAGAGAAGAACGUUGGUGAGAGUGGAAAGCUCAUCAAGUGACGGUAACUACCCAGAAAGGGACGGCUAACUACGUG
RNAcentral lists this ribosomal RNA (497 nucleotides) under uncultured bacterium. RNAcentral's name for it is "partial 16S ribosomal RNA". It matches the Rfam family "Bacterial small subunit ribosomal RNA", at positions 28 to 507 of the family's 1533-position model. The record is from RNAcentral.